UACAGAGGUCUCAAGCGUUGUUCGGAAUCACUGGGCGUAAAGCGUGCGUAGGCUGUUUCGUAAGUCGUGUGUGAAAGGCGCGGGCUCAACCCGCGGACGGCACAUGAUACUGCGAGACUAGAGUAAUGGAGGGGGGAACCGGAAUUCUCGGUGUAGCAGUGAAAUGCGUAGAUAUCGAGAGGAACACUCGUGGCGAAGGCGGGUUCCUGGACAUUAACUGACGCUGAGGCACGAAGGCCAGGGGAGCGAAAGGG
This 254-nucleotide ribosomal RNA is filed under the name uncultured bacterium. Its description in RNAcentral is "partial 16S ribosomal RNA". It matches the Rfam family "Bacterial small subunit ribosomal RNA", at positions 524 to 776 of the family's 1533-position model. The record is from RNAcentral.